GAUGAACGCUAGCGACAGGCUUAACACAUGCAAGUCGAGGGGCAGCGGGGGUAGCAAUACCCGCCGGCGACCGGCGCACGGGUGAGUAACGCGUAUGCAACUUACCUAUCAGAGGGGGAUAACCCGGCGAAAGUCGGACUAAUACCGCAUGAAGCAGGGAUCCCGCAUGGGAAUAUUUGCUAAAGAUUCAUCGCUGAUAGAUAGGCAUGCGUUCCAUUAGGCAGUUGGCGGGGUAACGGCCCACCAAACCGACGAUGGAUAGGGGUUCUGAGAGGAAGGUCCCCCACAUUGGUACUGAGACACGGACCAAACUCCUACGGGAGGCAGCAGUGAGGAAUAUUGGUCAAUGGCCGAGAGGCUGAACCAGCCAAGUCGCGUGAGGGAUGAAGGUUCUAUGGAUCGUAAACCUCUUUUAUAAGGGAAUAAAGUGCGGGACGUGUCCCGUUUUGUAUGUACCUUAUGAAUAAGGAUCGGCUAACUCCGUGCCAGCAGCCGCGGUAAUACGGAGGAUCCGAGCGUUAUCCGGAUUUAUUGGGUUUAAAGGGUGCGUAGGCGGCCUUUUAAGUCAGCGGUGAAAGUCUGUGGCUCAACCAUAGAAUUGCCGUUGAAACUGGGGGGCUUGAGUAUGUUUGAGGCAGGCGGAAUGCGUGGUGUAGCGGUGAAAUGCAUAGAUAUCACGCAGAACCCCGAUUGCGAAGGCAGCCUGCCAAGCCAUGACUGACGCUGAUGCACGAAAGCGUGGGGAUCAAACAGGAUUAGAUACCCUGGUAGUCCACGCAGUAAACGAUGAUCACUAGCUGUUUGCGAUACGCUGUAAGCGGCACAGCGAAAGCGUUAAGUGAUCCACCUGGGGAGUACGCCGGCAACGGUGAAACUCAAAGGAAUUGACGGGGGCCCGCACAAGCGGAGGAACAUGUGGUUUAAUUCGAUGAUACGCGAGGAACCUUACCCGGGUUUGAACGCAUUCGGACCGAGGUGGAAACACCUUUUCUAGCAAUAGCCGUUUGCGAGGUGCUGCAUGGUUGUCGUCAGCUCGUGCCGUGAGGUGUCGGCUUAAGUGCCAUAACGAGCGCAACCCUUGCCACUAGUUACUAACAGGUAAAGCUGAGGACUCUGGUGGGACUGCCAGCGUAAGCUGCGAGGAAGGCGGGGAUGACGUCAAAUCAGCACGGCCCUUACAUCCGGGGCGACACACGUGUUACAAUGGCGUGGACAAAGGGAAGCCACCUGGCGACAGGGAGCGAAUCCCCAAACCACGUCUCAGUUCGGAUCGGAGUCUGCAACCCGACUCCGUGAAGCUGGAUUCGCUAGUAAUCGCGCAUCAGCCAUGGCGCGGUGAAUACGUUCCCGGGCCU
Molecule: ribosomal RNA, 1355 nt
Filed under: uncultured bacterium
Lineage: Bacteria
Description: bacterial SSU rRNA
Rfam family: Bacterial small subunit ribosomal RNA
Source: RNAcentral